RNAcentral lists this ribosomal RNA (201 nucleotides) under Pseudo-nitzschia fraudulenta. RNAcentral's name for it is "partial Bacterial small subunit ribosomal RNA". It matches the Rfam family "Bacterial small subunit ribosomal RNA", at positions 331 to 524 of the family's 1533-position model. The record is from RNAcentral. Lineage: Eukaryota; Bacillariophyta; Bacillariophyceae; Bacillariales; Bacillariaceae.
CCAGACUCCUACGGGAGGCAGCAGUGGGGAAUAUUGCACAAUGGGGGAAACCCUGAUGCAGCCAUGCCGCGUGUGUGAAGAAGGCCUUCGGGUUGUAAAGCACUUUCAGUGGGGAGGAAAAGUUAGUCGUUAAUACCGGCUAGCCCUGACGUUACCCACAGAAGAAGCACCGGCUAACUCCGUGCCAGCAGCCGCGGUAAU